CAGCAGUGGCAGCAACGGAAAAAAAGAAUUGACGAGCUGGUAAUGAAAAUUAGAAAAUUAAAGUGGGAUGUGGAAAUUUUGGGUUGUCGGCGCCGUAUGGAAAAAUUGAUGUUGUGAGGUCUACUGGCGAUUUGUGUGCAUGAGAUAAGGCCCAAUGAUGAUGAUGAUGAUGAUGUACCUAAAUAAAAUGAUUAUUUCCUUGUGUAUAUGUAAAGUUGUGUGUAUUAAAAAAAAAAAAUGUACAAAGGGGUGUUUAUUCAUUUUCCCAUCGGCAAUGUCCCUGUUAGAACCACACCCGCGUGGUAUAAGUAGGUGUUAUUUGACAUAUUGAUGGUUAAUCGCGCUUGAAUGAAGUUUUUGAUCAAAAUGAUUGACCGUCUAGGGGCCCCUUUAGAUCGUGUACAUAAAAAAACUUUGCAAUUUCGCGCGCGCAUUAAAAAUAGAACAGUAUCAGUUUGUACUUCGUGGCCUUGCACUCGUUUCUCAUUUAUGGUGUUGUUGCUUACGGAAAUAAUUAUGAUUUUUGCGGAAAUUAAAAUUCGGGAAUAUCAUAACUCAGGUUGCUGCAACAACGCCCUGUUUCACUUUUGCUUGACCUCGACAAUGAAUUCCUCGUAUUGGAUUAAAAUUAUAGCCGUGGAAAGUUUGCGGCGGGAUAAACUAUAUUAAUAACAAUAACAAUUGCAUCAAUUCCGUAUAUUUGAAAUAGAUGCUGCUGUUGUGUUCGGGAUGCCGUUAAUUCCCUUUCCAACCUUUCGGUAAGAAGUUGGGAAUCUCGGUGCUUCGUUUCAACAAUGGGCAACAUUUGCUCCAGGCACCGCAUGGACACCAUUGCCAGCUCUUGGGGGUUGGACGGCUCGUGCCACCUGUGCGGGUCCAGCGGGGGUGGUGGUGGUGGUGGCGGCAGAUCUGUUGCUGCUGCUGGGGAGAUGUUUUGGUAGAUGUCUCUUAGGACAUUCAUGUCCUUUGCACCCGCCCUUGGUAACGAAGCUCUGUAACAAUAAGGAGAAAAGCACAGUAUUAAGAAUAGAGUGUAUGUAUAUAUUGCAAGUAUAACUUACUGAAAGUGA
Long non-coding RNA from Photinus pyralis (common eastern firefly), 1070 nucleotides. RefSeq lists it as uncharacterized. NCBI's taxonomy places the organism in Eukaryota, Metazoa, Arthropoda, Insecta, Coleoptera, Lampyridae. The record is from RefSeq and is a predicted model, not a curated record. The transcript has 3 exons.